Leptinotarsa decemlineata (Colorado potato beetle) is the source of this 1212-nucleotide unclassified non-coding RNA. The record is from RefSeq and is a predicted model, not a curated record. Lineage: Eukaryota; Metazoa; Arthropoda; Insecta; Coleoptera; Chrysomelidae.
GUAAUGCUAUAUCCGUCCAUGUUGCCAUUUGGCAAAACAGACUGAAUAAACUACAACUAAUUUGACAGAUGUAGCUCCAACAAGAUGGCCGGUCGGAAGACUAUUUAGUUAUCGUACUUAUUUCGCUAGUUCAUUGUCGCUUGUCCGAACUUAUCUGAAUUAAACUAAUAUCGAAAAUAAUCCAAUCAACGUGACACACACUGUACAGUACAUACAUACAUACAACCACAUAAUGUAAUGAAAGUAAAAUGAUCUCUCUGGAACGUUAAAUUUCUUGACUGAUUCAUCAAUUACCAAAUCGAAUUUUGGUGCCUCAAAUAGUAAUAUCAAACAGAUAAAAUUAUCGACAAUACCUAAAUACCAAGAUAUUAGAUACAAACUGAUAAUAAACGUACCAUAUGUGAGUAAUUGAUUAUUAACAUGUAUACAGUGAAAUAGUAAACUCUUCAAUAAUAGUCGAAAUUACCUGUCACUAAAAAAGAAAAAAAUAUGUUUUUUUUAAUUGUACGUAGAUGGACUUUACCCUUUGAGAGGGAAAAGUCGAUUUUUCUAUGGUUUAAAACAGGUGAUCGACUUUACCCAAAAUGCGGGGUUAAGUCGAUCACACUUUGAAUGAAAAUAAAAAUUGAAUGGGAAAAAUUACAAAAAUAAUAAUGGGUUCAUCAAAUGGUUUAAUGUUUGAGGUAUCUUUAUUUUCGAUCUCAUUUAAAAAAAAUUCAAUCGUUUAGGCGCUAGGAUGAAAAAACCUUUAUUUUUGAUCGACUUUACCCCGUUUGACGGUAUCUUUAAAGGGUCUCUUAUUGAGAGAUCUAUAUGUUUUGCAAUACCAUCUAUUCUGUUAUUAAUGAUUUCUACAUAAUGAUUCUUGUUCUUUUAUCAUUUGUACUAAUUAUUAUAAGAACCUGAAGUCCGCUACUGCCAUAGACAUAAACAGUAGUCAGUCUCAGCAACAACUGACUCUAAUUGUAGUUGCUAUUAUUCUGUGACUUUUUGAAUUUUGUCUAUUUUGUUUUCGAAAGCUGAAAUUACUUGUCAAAUUUUUAGUUCGUAUCUUUGUACGUUUGUUAAACAUUGUUCUUCUUAUUUUUCUACUAGUACAUUAUGAGAAACACUUAUAAAAAACCGAACGCAAAACGUCCCUUGGUAAAGACUGGCAUUCAGCUUGUUUACGGUGCGAAAAAUGCAACAAGACUCUCACCCCAGGCUCCCACG